Molecule: ribosomal RNA, 253 nt
Filed under: uncultured bacterium
Lineage: Bacteria
Description: partial 16S ribosomal RNA
Rfam family: Bacterial small subunit ribosomal RNA
Source: RNAcentral
GACAGAGGAGCCAAGCGUUGUCCGGAUUGACUGGGCGUAAAGCGCACGCAGGCGGUUGUGCGCGUGGGGUGUGAAAUCUGGCCGCUUAACGGCCAGGCGCCAUCCCAUACGGCGCGACUGGAGUGAUGCAGAGGUCGAUGGAAUUGCCGGUGUAGUGGUGAAAUGCGUGAGAGAUCGGGGGAACGACCCGUGGCGAAGGCGGCCGGCUGGGCCGUUCCUGCGCGAGGCGCGGAAGGCGUGGGGAGCGAACGGG